Strongylocentrotus purpuratus (purple sea urchin) is the source of this 603-nucleotide long non-coding RNA. RefSeq lists it as uncharacterized. The transcript has 3 exons. The record is from RefSeq and is a predicted model, not a curated record. NCBI's taxonomy places the organism in Eukaryota, Metazoa, Echinodermata, Echinoidea, Camarodonta, Strongylocentrotidae.
GCUUUUGUGGUUUGUGGCUACUAGAAACAUGAAAUGUUUGGAACUGGAGGAAAGGGGGGCAGCAAAGAAGAAAAGGUGAAAGAAAGAUCCUGGAAAAGAGCAACACAUUCAGAGCAGCUGGUGGCCAAGAGAGGGAAUGGCAUACAUUACGAAAGAAAUGGCGAGACAUGGCUUCGAAACAAAGCGUAUAAAGCCCCAAGGACAGGAUUCAGAGGCUACGGACCUGAGCUUGUCUAAUGAAAAUGUUCCAGGCCCCAGUGAUCGUCAGCCUCAGCCUCAGCUUUGGUCUACUCAGUCUGAGCAGUGGCGUGAAAUUUUAACACAAAGACGUACCUGCACAGAUCAGGCAAUUAGAAAUUCAGGAGGAGCUGCUGAGAAUACAACUGGCCAAAUUAAUAGUUAAACAGAAGCAAGUACAUAUAAGCAAAUCAAUUUUAGAAGAGCUAAGGAGUAUCCACAAUAGGCCUACCCUAGCAAAUAAACCCACAGCCAUAGAUUUCCUUAAUUCAACUCAACAAGGGGGCUAUUUAUCAUGUUUUUCCAUAAUUUUAUUCAAAGUUUUGAGGUGAAUUUUGCUACCUCCCAAAUUAAGUAUAUUCAGCA